This is a long non-coding RNA of Leopardus geoffroyi (Geoffroy's cat), 1275 nucleotides long. RefSeq lists it as uncharacterized. NCBI's taxonomy places the organism in Eukaryota, Metazoa, Chordata, Mammalia, Carnivora, Felidae. The transcript has 4 exons. The record is from RefSeq and is a predicted model, not a curated record.
AGGAAAUGCCCAGACAUCCUGGGGAAGAGGGAGCUCAAAGAACCCUACCUUGAGACAUCCUACGUAAAAACAAUCUCCCCUGGACCUGAGAAGGCAGGCAGAAAGGUUUGUCGAGGAAGGCUUCAUGGAAUGAUGGAAUUGUUUGAAAUCAUUGAAAAACAAAAGAAUCUUGCUCAGUAAAGCUGGAUGCAAAGGGCAUAAGAUUUCUAUCAUGUGUGAAAGCAGACAUAAAGGUCAGGAAGUUGGGAAAAUGAAGAAAAAGUAAAUUUCAAGGGAUAUACGCACCAAGAAGGGAGGAAUCAAAAAUAUAGUCUGUAUCAACCUGGAAACUGAAGACAAAAACUGAAAUUAUCUGUAAUUAUGUCCAUAUCCAUAGAGACAUUAUGCAAAAUAAUCUUAUGUUACAUAGGCACCGUUGCUGCUGUGGAAUAAGCUGUAUUUUAAAGACGUGGUGACUUUAAGUGGCUCUCACAAGGACGUUGGCUGGAAUGGAGCAUUAAAACAACUGUGAUCUUCUGGCUCUGCCCCUGUGUCUGUUUCAUAAACUGGCCUUGUCAAGAUGAAAAAUGUCAUGCCAUCCACAACCUGAAGAGGCAUGUCUGCGAAAGGACAAUAGGAACAGAGUCUGUCCCUUCUCCUCAUUACAUAUACAGAUGGAUUAUUUCUAGUACUUCUGGCCAGAUUGUUUUGUUUCAACUCUACCUGUGACUGAGCUAUGGGUGCUGCUGAAAAUUUUACACCCAUAAUACAAGCAUUCCCCCUCACGCAACAAGUCAGCACACAGUUUAUGGCAGAUAUUAAUUACGGUGGUUUUCCCUUGUCAUUGUACCUCUCUUUGACGUAAGUAAAGCCAGUGACUCAGAAUUCUGGGCCCACAUCAUGGGGAUGUGGCAGCACUAACAGAAAAAUGAACAAGCCCAGAGAUGGGAAAAAUCUGUAAGAGGACUGAUUUAAACAGGAGAAGCCAUCUGUCACCAAAGACCUUUCUGCCCCCAGGCCCACUGAUAUCAGUCAGAAAGCAAGGUCACAAGGCUCCAGGACCAAGGAUCGUCAAGAAGGAAAGUUCACAGUGGCUUAUUGACAAGAUUGAAGAAAAACUCCUCAGAAAUUAAUAACAAGCACCUGACAGAAAUGCCUGCUGUCUCCAAUGCAAGACAUCCCAUGACGUUCAGUAAUUAAUGAUGCCGAAAAGGUGGAUCAAUUCAUGCUUUGCUCUUGAACUCCCUGGGGACGCUCUUGCAACACUAUUGGUAUUCUCUGUGCUUUCGAGUAUGG